UACGGGGGGGGCAAGCGUUGUUCGGAAUUACUGGGCGUAAAGGGCUCGUAGGCGGCCAACUAAGUCAGACGUGAAAUCCCUCGGCUUAACCGGGGAACUGCGUCUGAUACUGGAUGGCUUGAGGUUGGGAGAGGGAUGCGGAAUUCCCAGUGUAGCGGUGAAAUGCGUAGAUAUUGGGAGGAACACCGGUGGCGAAGGCGGCCCCCUGGACCGGUACUGACGCUGAGGCGCGAAAGCGUGGGUAGCAAACGGG
RNAcentral lists this ribosomal RNA (253 nucleotides) under uncultured bacterium. RNAcentral's name for it is "partial 16S ribosomal RNA". It matches the Rfam family "Bacterial small subunit ribosomal RNA", at positions 524 to 776 of the family's 1533-position model. The record is from RNAcentral.